Molecule: ribosomal RNA, 498 nt
Filed under: uncultured bacterium
Lineage: Bacteria
Description: bacterial SSU rRNA
Rfam family: Bacterial small subunit ribosomal RNA
Source: RNAcentral
UAGGACGACGCUGGCGGCGUGCUUAACACAUGCAAGUCGAACGAGGAUUACAUUGGAAGGGCUUCGGCCUGGAAGAUGUAAUUCGAGUGGCGGACGGGUGAGUAACGCGUGAACAAUCUGUCCCGGACAGGGGAAUAACACUUGGAAACAGGUGCUAAUACCGCAUAAGACCACGCCCUCGCAUGGGGGAGGGGUAAAAGGAGCAAUCCGGUUCGGGGUGAGUUCGCGUCCGAUUAGAUAGUUGGUGAGGUAACGGCCCACCAAGUCGACGAUCGGUAGCCGACCUGAGAGGGUGAUCGGCCACAUUGGAACUGAGAGACGGUCCAAACUCCUACGGGAGGCAGCAGUGGGGAAUAUUGGGCAAUGGGCGAAAAAGCCUGACCCAGCAACGCCGCGUGAGUGAAGAAGGCUUUCGGGUUGUAAAGCUCUGUUAUAGGGGACGAAGGAAGUGACGGUACCCUAUAAGGAAGCCCCGGCUAACUACGUGCCAGCCGCCGC